UAUCUUCGAAAUGUGAGGUUAUAGUUUAUGGAUGUGUUGAUUGAGUGUUGACGGCGGGAUUCAAGUUACAAUUUUUAAAGAGGGUCGCUGACAGGUGGAGAAUUUCGAAGCGACAGGGCCAGUGUCAAUUAUGGAACAAUGCUUCCUCCAUUGUUGACUCCCACAAGACAAAUUAGCUGACUCCCAAUGAGGGAAUUGUGACAAUAAACUCGAAAUAGGAGUGCCUCAAAGUAACCUGCCUUUUCCGUGGGAUUUACCUGAGGCUGAGGUCCAUCCACGCGUCGUUGAAGGCCUGACCUUAUCCUCGAUGCUGGUCUGGUCUUGCCGGUGCCUUCGGUGAUUUUUGAUUAU
Molecule: long non-coding RNA, 351 nt
Organism: Fopius arisanus
Lineage: Eukaryota; Metazoa; Arthropoda; Insecta; Hymenoptera; Braconidae
Exons: 3
Source: RefSeq, a predicted model, not a curated record